UACGAAGGGGGCUAGCGUUGUUCGGAUUUACUGGGCGUAAAGCGCACGUAGGCGGACUAUUAAGUCAGGGGUGAAAUCCCGGGGCUCAACCCCGGAACUGCCUUUGAUACUGGUAGUCUUGAGUUCGAGAGAGGUGAGUGGAAUUCCGAGUGUAGAGGUGAAAUUCGUAGAUAUUCGGAGGAACACCAGUGGCGAAGGCGGCUCACUGGCUCGAUACUGACGCUGAAGUGCGAAAGCGUGGGGAGCAAACAGG
This 253-nucleotide ribosomal RNA is filed under the name uncultured bacterium. RNAcentral describes it as "partial 16S ribosomal RNA". It matches the Rfam family "Bacterial small subunit ribosomal RNA", at positions 524 to 776 of the family's 1533-position model. The record is from RNAcentral.